UUCUUCAGGGCAGGGUGCAAUUCCCGACCGGCGGUAGAGCCCGCGAGCGACCUUUCGCUGAUUCGUUGUAAUUACGAAGCCGACAGUAAAGUCUGGAUGAAAGAAGAU
This 108-nucleotide non-coding RNA is filed under the name Peptococcus niger. Its description in RNAcentral is "FMN riboswitch (RFN element)". It matches the Rfam family "FMN riboswitch aptamer (RFN element)". Rfam says of the family: The RFN element is a highly conserved domain that is found frequently in the 5'-untranslated regions of prokaryotic mRNAs that encode for flavin mononucleotide (FMN) biosynthesis and transport proteins. This element is a metabolite-dependent riboswitch that directly binds FMN in the absence of proteins. Lineage: Bacteria; Bacillati; Bacillota; Clostridia; Eubacteriales; Peptococcaceae. The record is from RNAcentral.